GAGUGCUUGCACUCAAUUGGAAAGAGGAGUGGCGGACGGGUGAGUAACACGUGGGUAACCUACCCAKCAGAGGGGGAUAACACUUGGAAACAGGUGCUAAUACCGCAUAACAGUUUAUGCCGCAUGGCAUAAGAGUGAAAGGCGCUUUCGGGUGUCGCUGAUGGAUGGACCCGCGGUGCAUUAGCUAGUUGGUGAGGUAACGGCUCACCAAGGCCACGAUGCAUAGCCGACCUGAGAGGGUGAUCGGCCACACUGGGACUGAGACACGGCCCAGACUCCUACGGGAGGCAGCAGUAGGGAAUCU
RNAcentral lists this ribosomal RNA (304 nucleotides) under Enterococcus faecalis. Its description in RNAcentral is "bacterial SSU rRNA". The record is from RNAcentral. Lineage: Bacteria; Bacillati; Bacillota; Bacilli; Lactobacillales; Enterococcaceae.